This 67-nucleotide transfer RNA is filed under the name Anguilla anguilla (European eel). Its description in RNAcentral is "tRNA-OTHER". Lineage: Eukaryota; Metazoa; Chordata; Actinopteri; Anguilliformes; Anguillidae. The record is from RNAcentral.
GGCACGGUGGUGCAGUGGGUAGCACUGUUGCCUCACAGCAAGAGGGUUCGAAUCCCAGCCUGGGCUU